Molecule: microRNA, 19 nt
Filed under: Tribolium castaneum (red flour beetle)
Lineage: Eukaryota; Metazoa; Arthropoda; Insecta; Coleoptera; Tenebrionidae
Description: tca-miR-3841-3p
Source: miRBase by way of RNAcentral
UAGUACGGAAUUAUCUCAC